CCUCCUUAGCUCAGUUGGUUAGAGCAUCUGACUGUUAAUCAGAGGGUCGCUGGUUCAAGUCCAGCAGGAGG
This 71-nucleotide transfer RNA is filed under the name Cryomorphaceae bacterium BACL18 MAG-120507-bin74. Its description in RNAcentral is "tRNA-Asn". It matches the Rfam family "tRNA". From Rfam's summary of the family: Transfer RNA (tRNA) molecules are approximately 80 nucleotides in length. Lineage: Bacteria; Pseudomonadati; Bacteroidota; Flavobacteriia; Flavobacteriales; Cryomorphaceae. The record is from RNAcentral.